AAUUCUCGUGAGAAAGGUAAUCUUGGUGUGGUGAAGAGGGUUUGCAUGGAAUCAGAAGAAUGGGCAAAGGUUCCUCUGCAAAAAAGAAAUAACACUGAUUUGAGCCUCUACCAAGGUCAUCAUUGAAGAUAUUGGAAAGAAGACGAAGAAAAAAAGGAAAGAAAAAGGAAGAGAAGGAGGAAAGUAAGAAAGAGAAUACAGAAGAACUAAUGAAUCCAGAGCACUUGAUGAGUGAAAAUGAUAGAAAUCCUCCAGAAGGAAAAGAAC
This 267-nucleotide long non-coding RNA is filed under the name Homo sapiens (human). Its description in RNAcentral is "HSALNT0110612". Lineage: Eukaryota; Metazoa; Chordata; Mammalia; Primates; Hominidae. The record is from RNAcentral.